GGGGAUGUGACCUAGAUUAUACGGCGUGGGGCAGGAUCCCUCCUCAGAUUGUAUACACAUAAGCGUAUAAGCUUGUUUCCUUACGAAGACGAGGGAGAGACUGUUCGGAUUGACGGAGUACCCUAUCAACUAAUAUAAGAUAGGACCUCUAGUCAACACUCAAAUCAGACAUGGGAAAUGUGUUAGGUAUGGAUGGAGUAAGGAUGGUUGCCGUUUUGUUUAUGAUGAUGUGUUUAGUAGUCAAUGGACAGACUACUUCUUCCUCACCUUGUAGCAUAUCUGCUGAUAAGAACAGUGAGGAUUUGGAGCAAGCACUCGAGCUUGGAUACCAUAUGCUGUUCAUGAUAUUUUCCUUCAGCAAUGUUAGUCGAACAAUCCCUAUUUCUGUGGAUACCCCUCAGCCCUUUACUUGGGUCCAUGUGUCAGGAAACCACGGGAAGGGUCUUAUUUGGCUCAGACAGAACUUUGAGGUGUUAUCUUUGACGAGUCUGAGAUACGGCGUUCAUGAUUUAGACAUAAACCUGUCUGACAAUCCAGAAGGAUGUCUAAGUACGAAACCAGCAUCAGAUAUUGCGAAUGAUGUGCGAGAUUUCAUUCUUAACAAUUUUGCUGAUCCCGUUACAAAUA
Molecule: long non-coding RNA, 627 nt
Organism: Mizuhopecten yessoensis (Yesso scallop)
Lineage: Eukaryota; Metazoa; Mollusca; Bivalvia; Pectinida; Pectinidae
Exons: 3
Source: RefSeq, a predicted model, not a curated record